CGAACGGGUGAGUAACACGUGAGCAAACUUGCCCUUGCACUCAUGGCAAAUAACAGGUUGGAAACAGCUGCUAAUACCGGGUUACGACCCUUCGACUGGCAUCAUCUGGAGGUGUGAAAGCUCCGACGGUCAACGGAUGGGCUCGCGGCCUAUCAGCUUGUUGGUGAGGUAACGGCUCACCAAGGCUUCGACGGGUAGCCGGCCUGAGACGGGCAACCGGCCACCACUGGGACUGAGAUACGGCCCAGACUCCUACGGGAGGCAGCAGUGGGGAAUAUUGCACAAUGGGCGCAAGCCUGAUGCAGCAACGCCGCGUGCGGGAUGACGGCCUUCAGGUUGUAAACCGCUUUCAGUAGGGACGAAGGUNACCUGACGGUACCUACAGAAGAAGGACCGGCCAACUACGUGCCAGCAGCCGCGG
RNAcentral lists this ribosomal RNA (421 nucleotides) under uncultured bacterium. RNAcentral's name for it is "bacterial SSU rRNA". It matches the Rfam family "Bacterial small subunit ribosomal RNA", at positions 99 to 520 of the family's 1533-position model. The record is from RNAcentral.